Molecule: small nucleolar RNA, 132 nt
Organism: Suncus etruscus (white-toothed pygmy shrew)
Lineage: Eukaryota; Metazoa; Chordata; Mammalia; Eulipotyphla; Soricidae
Product: small nucleolar RNA SNORA77
Exons: 1
Source: RefSeq, a predicted model, not a curated record
GCAGACUCACUCUGCAUCCUGCUGCAUCUACAAGCAUGGGUGCUUUUUUCGUCUGCCACAGGAAUGAAUGUGCCAGGGGCCAAAACCGCUUUGACCUGUGAAAGUGGACAGAGAUUCCCAGGACACACACAU